RNAcentral lists this ribosomal RNA (494 nucleotides) under uncultured bacterium. Its description in RNAcentral is "partial 16S ribosomal RNA". It matches the Rfam family "Bacterial small subunit ribosomal RNA", at positions 28 to 507 of the family's 1533-position model. The record is from RNAcentral.
GACGAACGCUGGCGGCGUGCUUAACACAUGCCAGUCGAACGGAAAGGCCUGCUUUCCCUUGUGGAUUGCGGGUACUCGAGUGGCGAACGGGUGAGUAACACGUGAGUGGUCUGCCCCCAACUUGGGUAUAAGCCUGGGAAACUGGGUCUAAUUCCCGAUAGGACUGCAGGGUGGUGCCUGUGGUGGAAAACGAUUUUCUAGUGGUUGGGGAUGAGCUCGCGGCCUAUCAGCUUGUUGGUGGGGUAAUGGCCUACCAAGGCGGCGACGGGUAGCCGGCCUGAGAGGGUGGACGGCCACAUUGGGACUGAGAUACGGCCCAGACUCCUACGGGAGGCAGCAGUGGGGAAUAUUGCACAAUGGGCGGAAGCCUGAUGCAGCGACGCCGCGUGGGGGAUGACGGCCUUCGGGUUGUAAACUCCUUUCGACCGCGAGGAAGCCACCUGGUUGGAAGGGUGGUGACGGUAGUGGUAGAAGAAGCACCGGCUAACUACGUG